RNAcentral lists this ribosomal RNA (234 nucleotides) under uncultured bacterium. Its description in RNAcentral is "partial 16S ribosomal RNA". It matches the Rfam family "Bacterial small subunit ribosomal RNA", at positions 15 to 240 of the family's 1533-position model. The record is from RNAcentral.
GAUCCUGCCUCAGGAUGAACGCUAGCUACAGGCCUAACACAUGCAAGUCGAGGGGCAGCAUGGUCUUAGCUUGCUAAGGCCGAUGGCGACCGGCGCACGGGUGAGUAACGCGUAUCCAACCUGCCUUACACUCUUGGACAGCCUUCUGAAAGGGAGAUUAAUACAAGAUGUUAUCAUGAGUAAGCAUUUUCGCAUGAUUAAAGGUUUACCGGUGUAAGAUGGGGAUGCGUUCCA